Molecule: long non-coding RNA, 5045 nt
Organism: Gallus gallus (chicken)
Lineage: Eukaryota; Metazoa; Chordata; Aves; Galliformes; Phasianidae
Source: Ensembl
CGCGAGGUCACAAACGCUCCUCGGGGACUUCAUUUGCAGAGAAGCCACAGCCAAACCUAAAAGACUGCGGAUCAGUAUCGACACCUCCAUUUCCAGCUCCUCCUUUGGGAGUGGCCUUCUCCCUCCACCUUGACUUAGGGCGCCACACAACAUCCGCACUGGGGCAGGUCCCUUCUCCUGCCUCCUCCUCAGCUGCAGCUGUGCCCUGGGACAGUGCCCAGGGGGGGCUCCCAGCACUGCGACUCCCCGUGGAGCCGGGAGAGCCCCUUUGGCCCGGCUGCUCCCCAGGCUCCCUCAGCUGACCCUCACUUUGCUGCUGCAGGGCACACGCGGCGUGGUGAAGGCCCUCAAAAGCUCCGUCACUUUUCCGUUGCAUUUCAGUGCAAAGCAUGUUUAGUUUUAUGACCUCCUGCGAGUCUUCGGCAGGAACAAGGUGUGAGCGGUGCGAUGCUGCGCCAGUUAUGUAAAUCAGCACUAAAAUAACAAUGGCAAUGUAGUUUACACAUCGCUGGCGUUAAAUGAGCACUUCGACUUCUAUCAGUCCGUCGGGGGUCACGCCAGGAAAAAGUCAUUUCUUGCCUCAAUGCCUGUGCUUGUGCCCGGAGCAGAGGCUCUGCGGAGUGCCCAGCAGUGUCUGCAGGAGAUCCUCCAUCGGGUGCUGAGCCUGGACAAGGAGGCUCUGAGGCCCCUUCCCACCCCUACAGCUGUGCACAGUGAGUCUGAGCGAACACAACUGAAGGCAAAGCGCAGUUCCUGGUGCCGCAAUCGCCCCCCGGGUUCCACAAACACGAGGAGGCGAGCAGCACAUGUGCAGAAGGUUCAGCUCAGCCUGGUCUCCCACGGCAGCACUCUCCUACAGAGCUACCCUUCAGACAGCACUGGUGCAUCAGCUCCACUCCUGACUGAGAAACCAGCACUCGUGCUGAAGAGAUCUGAUACGGACGUUGGGUUUUAGGAAGCUGGACCAUACAGAUCUCUAAUCUUUGUGAACCUUCAUUUCCGUACUCCUGAACUUUGCAUAGUUGACUGGACUGGUUAAUUUCAUCUUCCCUUUUCUGCACAUCUACUCCCUUUUCUUUCUUUCUUCCUUUUUUUCCCCCUUGCUUCAGUGUUAUUGUGCCUUGGCGUGGGCUCUUUCUGAGCCAGCGAGCAUUCAGCUAAGGGCACCUGCUUCUAAGGUUUCAGAUCCAGGUGCUCUUUGCAGGUGCCCAAUUGCAGCUGAUAGACCUCAACUUUAUGCACUGUUGGGUUUUCUUAGUAAAAUAAAGUACCCACAGACAGGUAGGUUUUACAACCCAGUAAGAUCUGUUUAUCAGGCUUCGGAGGCAAGAAGAAAGUCUUCUUCCCCACAGUGCUCUCUUCUUACUAAUAUUACAUCAAAUUGCCUUUCUGUAGUGCCACCAGGUAGUUUCGUUCUUCUGUCCUGAUUUAAUUGUGACCACUGCCCACGUUGCAGUGGGCAGAAGUCUCCAGCUGGAAGAGCUCGAUGAGAAAUGCUGCUGGGACCUCGAGUUGGAACUCACAGUCGUUAACGACUCAAUCAAACACAAUCUUUAACACUCCAGAUCCUGGUCUAGUUGGAGGGCAGGUCUGCAGAAGCGCACCUAUUGCUCUGUGCACACGGCUGUUCAACGGUUCUACCGCUGACUUCAGCAGACCUGUUAGACCAACACUGAGCACUUUUAAUAUUCCCCUCUUAGGCCAAUUUCCCACAGAUACAGUGAGCUUUUGACAUGAUAUGUUAAUAGUACCGAGGGUUUUUUAUGUGUUUUGUACAUUGCAGUGACUAAACCUCUUAAGAGAAACCUAUGCUGAAGCAUGACAAAUCUGCAUGAUACAGCAUCAAAUGUGAGGGGGCCGGCUUCUGAAAAUGAGUUAAGAUGUGUUAGUGAUGUUGAGGCUUUGGCUUCAUAAAGGAUAGAGAUUAUCUGAAAGCUUUUCCGUUUCUAAACUCGGCUCCCUGUUGGCAUCUGUGCGAAUGUGAUGUGUGGCCAUUCUUGAACAUCCGACUUCAUGCUGCCUUCUGAACAUUUGUCUUUCGGUAGUUUGUCUUUAACGUCCAUCAAUGGUCUCUGCUCUGCAGUCUGUCUCCUGCUGCAUGAAGGAUGGAUUCUCACUCGAGAAGGAGUUACCGAUGGAGCAUCUUCGGAGAACAUCCUUGGAUUGUCCCCAGGCCUUUGUCUGCUCCGAUGCUGCAUUGCUCCCUUUGCAGCCAUCCUGAAAGAACACUCCAAACUGCAGAAACUAAGAAUUAGCAGCACAUGCAGAACUGCUGUAUGUCUAUCCCUGGCUCAUCUGCAGCCUGGACAUCGCAGUACUUUUUCUUCCCAUUGUUCUCCAAAGGGAGGAAGAUCAGCUACCCUCCCACGUUUUACAGAAGGGGAAAAACAGUUUCAGAGAAAGGCUGUUUUUAAGAGGUAUGCAGAAGCCCAGAGACCUAUAUAGGUCACACGAAGAUUUCCGAGGAUGCAUAAUCAGGUUAGAGACACAAAUUCCUAAAACUUGAGAGAGACGUCAGCAGUCGGCUCACGCAGACAUUUCUGAAAAUCCCAACGCCAAAUCUAUGGAACAGUUUCCUGACGAAUCCUUGCCGCGCCUCGUCUGUAGUUUGUACUGAGAACCGUAAAUCCUAGCAGGAGUAAAAUCACCUCAUUCAGCAACGGAGAAAAGCUCUGACACCGUGAGACCACCUGUGCUGGGGAGAGCGUUCUGCAGCCUCAGCUGGGCCCAUGAAGGUACCUGUCACAGUAGUGGGAUUCCGGUUUGUUCCCCUGCUGGGUCAGCCUCCACAGCAGAGGGGCACAGUGCAUUCCCUCGCACAACGUGCCAUCGCCUCCUGGGAACCAGAACAGUGAGGCUCAGCUGCGAACCGUGGAUAAAACUCCACUUAUUUUGCACCUCUGAGCUUCUCGCCUGCUUUCCUGCAUGCAUCCCAUGCCCCCGAGUGCAGCCCCCACAGCCCCUGGGCUUUCAGGAAGCAGAAGAACCUGCCCCAGAUUUCUUCUGCCCCUCUUUGUGCCCAGGACACGCAGCCAGCAGAGCGGGGAUCACUGUGAGAACAACACUGCUACCUCCAUUCAUUUUACACAGCCGGAAUCAAGUCUGUAAGUGCUGGUUCAGAUGCUCACACAGCCCAGGAAGAACCCCAACAACCAAAAAAUUAACCUUAUGAAUAAAUCAUUGAAAAAUUAGGGCUACUCUCUCCAGACCAAUGGAAGGCUGAAAUUGCAAGUUAGGAAGUUAAACGUGACAUUGACUUCUGCAGCUGGUAGGAAAACAGCUUCCUUGCAAAACAAAAACUAGAAUGUUUUGCAUCCAUUUUUUCUCUAAGCAACUUCUAUUGAAUCAGAUGUUACUAAUAAGGAACUUCGAUAGAUUAAAGAAACGCACCUCUGCAAUAAUAUGUGAAUAUUAUGUUUUCCUUCCUUCCAUUCAUUUACAAUACACGUUCCGAUAACACAAGCUGGAUUUAGACAGGUCAAAGCUGCAAAAAAGCAAAAAUUCUCCAAAUGAAAGCAUAUGGGGAUGAGAUAAAAUAGAGGCUUUCCCUUAAACCAACGUGAUUUCACAGCUGGCCUGAGGGAAUGUCAUCUGCACCACAUCGCCACGCGUGUCCAGGCAGCUGUACGUAUUAUUUUCCCUGUUUGCUUACAUUAGAAAUAAAAAAAAUCCUCUAGACUGAAUCACAGCGAUGGCUCCUACCUGAAAUGUCUCUCCUGCAUUUGACAAGACCUGUAGGUUAAUGGAUUGAACUUCUCUCUCUAUAAAAGAGCUAGGGCAGCUACAGGCAGCCUGGAACUUAGUGAAAUUUUGCCCAAGCAGCACACAGGCCCUAUGCUGGCCUGCUGUGUGCAUCUCAGUCACACUGUGCCCAGCGUUUGGUGAAGCUGCAAGAAGCCAUCUGCAUGAGACUUCAUUGCCGUGUUUAGUUUCCCUGCCUGUGGGAAACCAUCCUGGUGCAGUAAGCUGUCUGAAUUCUGCAUCCCGCAGGUAAAUUACAUGUGCAGGGUGCCUGAGUAACUCAAGCAGAUGCACUGAUAUUGUUGUGUUGUUGGUCCCAACACAACAGAUGUCAGCUACUGCAGCAGACAACUUAAAGGUCCAACCCAAACUCUUUGACCUCUGAUUUGCUCUGUGGCAUUCCCAUAGCAAGACAGGAAGAGGAGACACCUCAACUGCAACUGCAAUGGUGAUCAUCUGCAUCAAACGCUUCUAAGCGGAGCCAUAGGACAUCAGUAGGAACAUCUCUAUCGUGUUCAGAGAAUUUAGGUUUUCCAGUGUCCCUCAAGAGCAGUGUGACUACUGCUGCGGUCCCUGCAUUAGCCCCACUACUGACAAAGGCGUUUUUGAUGCCAUUCCUUCAAUCUAAAUGAUGGAAUAAAAACAGGUCCCGGGACUGCUCGAACCGACUGUGCCUGGAGACUGUUCAAGAGAGAGAAUAUUUAAAGCAGUGCCGCAAACUGUGCACAGCUUUGCCAAAGCCUAUGGAGCUCUGCACUGGAAAACUGAGCUGAGCUAUCAGUGAUCUUUGCUUAAUCACUGCCUUAAUCACUGUUCCUGGGGCUUCUGCAUAACCAAGGUGAAGCACGUCCCCCAUCCCCCAUCCCUGCUGCAGCUCGAUAACGCCUUGCCUAGAUGCAGGCUUUGCACUUCCAGUGGCCAAUCUGUCCAAGAAAUGAAGGACCUUUCCCUCCUUUUCCUGCUGGGCUCCAGCACCUCACUGCAGCUCCUCUGCCAAAACCAAUGCUCCUGCAGUGAGUGGGUUCCCACAGCAGCUUUGGCUGAGCAGAAAUCCCUUCUCAGGGCGUGCACGCAGCACUUUGGGUAACUGCAGCCUGAUUUUGGUUGGAACUGCCACAUUACAAGCAAAUUCUUUGCAUUUAUAUUUGAAUUAAAUGUAAAUUCUUUUAGUAAUUAAAAGCUCAGUUCCAGUCCUUCACUUGUAAACAAAUUCCCAAAUCUGGAAGAGCCACAACCUCUCCCCUGCCACAGUCGAAGGUACAGUAGCUUACAUUUUAGCUAACGUUGUUUUGUUCAAAAUCAAA